CUUGUCAGUUCUUCUGCUAACAAGCGUACCAAAAUGAAGACUUUCCUACAUUUGGCCCUUGUUCUUGCCUUGACAAUUGUUGGCAUUAAGUCAGAAUGCCUAGUAGAUGAUUUGGAGUGUACUUCCACUGAAGGAGCCCUAGAAGCUCUUGAAGCUCAAGAUCCGCAUGAUUGUAUGCAACAAUGCAAAAACAGUCCUUCGGCAUCCCAAAUCAACUAUGCUUACAUGCCAGCCUACCAUCUUGGUAUAGUUAUGUGCUAUUGCCUUGCAGAAUGUCAACCCAAAAGAAAGUACUUUGCGCUUGUAGCUGAUCUUACAGACAGCACCACAUCCGAGGUUUGCAAGUUAUCCUAUGGAUAUGAGCCGUAGUAUUUUGUUCUAUUCUUGUUGAUGACUACCAUGCAUAGGUGUAAGAACAAAUAAAUGCAUAUCCCAUAA
This is a long non-coding RNA of Tigriopus californicus, 438 nucleotides long. RefSeq lists it as uncharacterized. Lineage: Eukaryota; Metazoa; Arthropoda; Copepoda; Harpacticoida; Harpacticidae. The transcript has 2 exons. The record is from RefSeq and is a predicted model, not a curated record.